UACCCUAAAGGGGCUCCCCUCCCUAUCUUUUUGCCCAUUUCACUUAAAUGCAGCCAAAUGGGCAAAAAGGUAGGGAGGGGGGCCCCUUUAGGGCAUGU
This 98-nucleotide microRNA precursor is filed under the name Marmota monax (woodchuck). Lineage: Eukaryota; Metazoa; Chordata; Mammalia; Rodentia; Sciuridae. The record is from RNAcentral.